Astatotilapia calliptera (eastern happy) is the source of this 1341-nucleotide long non-coding RNA. The record is from Ensembl. Lineage: Eukaryota; Metazoa; Chordata; Actinopteri; Cichliformes; Cichlidae.
GUUUGAAUUUACAUUCUGGAGUACCAGGGGCACGAGGAUUUUGCCAGUGGUGUUUUGCUUUGUCAGUGGGAGGGGGCUUAAGUGUGGGUCCACGGGGCAUGCUGGAGGUCAAGGUCCAUGCUGGAUAUGCAGUGGAGGGUAACUGCAGGAGAAGGAAAGCUAGUGGGGGACUAGAGCAGGGGAGGAUGUGCGUCCCCGGGGCAUGCUGGAGGUCAAGGUCCAUGCUGGAUAUGCGCUGGAGCGUAACUACAAGAAAGGUAAGCUAGUGGGGGACUAGAGCAGGGGAGGAUGUGCGUCCCCGGGGCAUGCUGGAGGUCAAGGGCCAUGCUGGAUAUGCGGUGGAGGGUAACUGCAGGAGAAGGAAAGCUCAUGGGGGAUUAGAGCGGAGGAGUAUGUGGGUCCUCGGGGCCUGCUGGAGGGCAAGGGCCAUGCUGGAUUUGUGGUGGAGGGUAACUGCGGGAGAAGGAAAGCUAGUGGGGGAGUAGAGCAGAGGAGUAUGUUGGUCCCCGGGGCCUGCUGGAGGUCCAGGUCCAUGCCCGAUGUGAGUAGCAGCAGGGCCAGCGCGCCCAGGAGCACAUCUUUUUCGACCGUAAAGGGAGACAGGAGGCCGACUCACUGCCUCGGCUAAAUGGAGAGGGAAUUUCAGCAGGGCCAGGGCACAGGCAUGGACCUUUUUCAGCUGUAAGGGAGGCAAGAGCAAGGUGUGAUGUAGGUCCCCGGGGCCUGCUGGAGGUCCAGGUCCAUGCCCGAGUCACUUAGAUAAAUUAAAAAUGUUGUUGUUUGGCUUUGUUUUUUUUUUUUUGUAUUUUAUUUGUUCCUGAGUAAAUCGGUUUGGCUGAGAUUAAAGUUAUAGUUUUUACACAGCUGAAUAAACGUCAAGCAGACAGCUGAUUAUCAGAAGUGUGAGAUGCUGGAGAAUAUACUCCGGUGUCCUGUUAUAUUUUAGACAGCAAGGAGUGUAUUAAACUUUACCGAAACAAUUUGCAAAUUUCAUUAAAAUUGAAUAAACUAUCAUCUUGUCUUUAUUUUUAGUUAGCACCUUAAAAGCUUAAAGCUGUAAGCUAAUGAUAGUUAUAUAAGAGCAGAUGCUGCUGGUGCAAUAAGCUGUAGUUUUACGUCCAGUGGAUGAUGAUCUGAUUAGUCGACUAAUCGCAUAAAUAAUCGGUGACUAGUCGACUAUCAAAAUAAUCGUUUGUGGCAGCCCUACUUCUAUGCCCCAUCUUUGUUUACUCUUUCCCACCCAACAAGUGCAUAAAUAAGAUGUUAAAAACGUCAUCAUCAUAUCAAACAUGAUCGAUUUGGGGGGAGUUUGUUUGGCACAUGCUGACUGCAUUCUAAUUA